This 255-nucleotide ribosomal RNA is filed under the name uncultured bacterium. RNAcentral's name for it is "partial 16S ribosomal RNA". It matches the Rfam family "Bacterial small subunit ribosomal RNA", at positions 524 to 777 of the family's 1533-position model. The record is from RNAcentral.
GACAGAGGGGGCAAGCGUUGCUCGGAAUUACUGGGCGUAAAGGGCGCGUAGGCGGGAUGGCAAGUCGGUCGUGAAAUCCCUCGGCUCAACCGAGGAAGCGUCGAUCGAUACUGCUGUUCUUGAGGAUUGCAGAGGAGACUGGAAUUCCCGGUGUAGCGGUGAAAUGUGUAGAGAUCGGGAGGAACACCGGUGGCGAAGGCGGGUCUCUGGGCAAUUCCUGACGCUGAGGCGCGAAAGCGUGGGGAGCAAACGGGG